Molecule: long non-coding RNA, 1785 nt
Filed under: Accipiter nisus (Eurasian sparrowhawk)
Lineage: Eukaryota; Metazoa; Chordata; Aves; Accipitriformes; Accipitridae
Description: lncRNA (ENSANIG00000012583.1)
Source: RNAcentral
AUGCCCAGGAAUGGGGUUCAGGGAAGGACCAGUUACUUCCCUUCACUUCCUGGGAUAACCAUAUAUUUCUGUGACCUCUUUGGGGCUGACAUAGGGGUGUCCUGUGGAGGCCUUGCCUUGCAAUAUGUCUCCAUUCUGCUUCAGAGGAUGUUCGUGGGGCCAGACACAGGGAGCAGCAGUGGUCACCCAGGGGGGUCCCUGGCCUGUGGGACAGCAGCUGCCCAGAUGACAACUAUGGGCUUGUGGCCAACAAGAGGAGGUCCUACUCCUUCACCUCAGCCACUUACCAGAAGAUCACCCCGGUGGCCAUGCCCAAGGAGCUGGUGGAGGCUGGGAGCAGCUACUCCGUCACACUGUACAUCGGGGAGCAAGCACCAGCCCUGCCCCGGGCACGCUGCCACUCCUUCGUGGCCCGGCCGGGGAGCCCGCAGGACACACUGGGGGAGAAGACCCCUAGUCCCCCUCGGCCCAAGAACAAAUCUGUCUUCAAGAAGUUCUUUGGGAAGAAGGAGUGAGCCCCAAAUGAGGGGGAGAAAAGCCCUAACCUGCCCUCUAUCCUCCUCUUGGGUGCCAUCCUGGUAUGGUCGCCACUCCCAGCACCAGCUCACUGCUCGCUGCCUCCCCGGGGGAGAGAGGCUGUGGCAAGUGGCUCUGCUCCAGCCAGCCCUGGUGCUGCACCGCGCCCCAGCCACCACAGCCCCUGGCCUCAGCCUGGCGCUGAGCACCCCUCCUGCCUGCCUGCCCUCCUACCCGGUGCUCUCCCUGGGUGCCACUGGCUCCCCAGGCAUCCUGCCAACAUGCAACACAAGCAGGUGUGUGUGUGUGGGGGGGGGGGGGUUAUUAAAAAAGAAACAGACACUUAGUCUGGGAGCUUCUUCCUCCAGCAGCACCUCUCAACACAGGUGAGGGGCUCUGCAAGGUGGUCCCUGCUAAGGGAUGGGGGGAGCUUCAGAUGAGGGGGGCCACUACAGCAGAGUUCAGCCCUGCUCAGGGAGAAGCCUGAGCUGUCUUAUGCUUCUCACAAGGAUGCUUUGUCCCAUGGUUCCUCUGUGCCUGCACCCAGCCCAGCUAAUCCCAUGGGCCCCUUUUCCCUGCCACAGGAGCUCAACGGAGAAGCUGCUGCCUAUAGAGCAAAUCCUCCUACCUGCACAGCCCUGCCAGGCCUGCCCAGGCUUCCUCUUGCAGGAUGGCCGCCAGCACAGGUCACGGCAGGUAGAUGUUGCAUGCCAUGGAGGGGGCCAGGGGACUGUGACCUCCUGCAACCCAGAUACUUUGCAAUAACUUCACCAGGCUAUACCGGCUGCAGCUGCCCCAGUUCCAGCUUGCACUGGGAAGCGGGAAGAGGAGCUGGCCCAACCUGCCCUGAGAAUGUACUAGCCCCGGCAGGAGAAGGCGAAGUUUCCAGGGUUGUGGGUAGCCAGACCUCUUCCCAGUGGGCUGCGAGGCUCGGACAUGCACACCCCUUGCCUCCUCAUACAUGUUGUGGGGUUUAAAAUAGAAGUGCUGGCUGCAGCCCAGCUCUGCAGCAAGGGCUGGGAGAGGAGAAAUGCUCCUGCCACCCCAUCUCCCUCCCGCAGAGUCCCCAGGGCUGGGGACAGGCAGUGAGCAGGUGGGCAUGCCCCUGUCACCAGCAGAACAGCUUUCUCCAUGCUCCCACUGAGGGGUGGGAGGAAAUGGCAGCAAGGGGUGCUGCCAUGUGGGCAUGGGUGUGUUUUUGUGCUUCCCCUGUGCCUUCCCACCCUCCCCUUGGCUCCAUUGCUCUUGGCUCCAGCACCUGUUUUUCUC